Non-coding RNA from Rattus norvegicus (Norway rat), 1450 nucleotides. Lineage: Eukaryota; Metazoa; Chordata; Mammalia; Rodentia; Muridae. The record is from RefSeq and is a predicted model, not a curated record.
GGCCUGACCAGCACAAAGAGACAGACAGCACAGCUCCUGGAUUCUGGGCCUUUUGCAGUGGACUCAUUACAACCCUGUCUUUCCUGAGCUUCUGGCUCAGAGGUAAUGGACUAUGGAACACUCCAGCCUCCAUAAUUAUUGACACCCUCAUCCCAGUGACAUCACGAGGAGGGAAAUCCAAUCUUAUUCUGCAGCCCAGAGCUCAGCAGCUCAGUGGAAUGAGAUGACAUGGACGAACUGGAGCAAUUUAAAAAGAAUAAAGCACCCUCCACCCCCUGCAAUACAUCUCUGUACCUCACCAUGAAGGAACUAUUCAUUUAGGGGGUGAGGCUAUCCCAGGAACAGAAGUGACCAUCCUGAAGGACCUGGAUCAUUUCCUGAAGUGAUGAGAGGAGCUGGGGACUGAACACAGGGCCUUGUGCUUGCUAGGCAAGCGCUCUACCACUGAGCUAAAUCCCCAACCCCCAUGACCUGAGUUUAAGCCCCAGAUUUCAUAUUGUAAAAAUAGAGAACUGACUCCUUAAAGUUGUCCCCUGAUCACUACUUGUAUGUGGGCUCACACACACACACACACACACACACACACACACACACUCCAUUGAAAAAAUUAAGUAAUAAUAAAGAACCUUUUCACAUCAAUUAUUUUAGAAACUACAUAAAAUGGUAGUUAUUGACAAGUUGUGAAAAGUUUUGAUUUUAACAUGAGUUGGUACAGGUUGAGUUGUGUCCCUCUCAGAAAAGAUACAUCAGCCAAGUUCCACAGAGUGUGACCUUUGUUCGGAGAGGAGAGAACAACUUUACAGAGGUAAUCAGGCUAAACUGAGGUCAUAAAGGUGAACUCUCACCAUCUGAGACUUAGAGUGUCUCUGGGGGAAUUACUUUGAUGAGUUAAUUAAAAGGCCCCAAUUUGCCACCUGGCACAUGCUUAGUAGCUAUUGGUUACCUCUUGCCUUCCUGAGGGAUCCUUCAACCAUUGUCUCUGUGUCCUAACUCUGGGGCCUCUGAUUCACCUCUGUUGACAACUGGUUAAAAGGCUGUGGACGCUUGGGCUGGAAGAAUAGAUAAGUAAAGUACUUGUGGGGACAAGUGGGGACCAGACUCUGAUCAUUAGAACUCGUAGGAGAAAAGCCAGACUCAGUGACACAUUUGUAAUCCCAGUGCUAGGGACAGAAAUGGGCAGAUCCCUGAUACUUACUGGCCAGAUGACCAACCUAUUCUUCUUGAGUUCCAGGCUAGUGAGAGGCCUCGUCUCAAAAAGAGGAAGAUGUCACCCAAGAAACAGAUAUCCAAAGAUGUUCUCUGGCCUCCACUUCCUCACAAAUAUAUAUGCACCCUCCCUACAAACAUGCACACACGCACGCACAUACACAUGCACAUAUGCAUGCACAGAUAGAGAGAGAGAAAGAUAGAGAUAGAUGUUUUGGAUUCCCACAAUCUUUUUCGCAUUGCA